AUUGAACGCUGGCGGCAGGCCUAACACAUGCAAGUCGAACGAGUGGCGGACGGGUGAGUAAUGUCUGGGAAACUGCCUGAUGGAGGGGGAUAACUACUGGACACGGUAUCUAAUAGCGCAUACCCGCGGAUGUGCCCAUAUGGGAUUAGCUAGUAGGUGGGGUAAAGGCUCACCUAGGCGACGAUCCCUAGCUGGUCUGAGAGGAUGACCAGCCACACUGGAACUGAGACACGGUCCAGACUCCUACGGGAGGCAGCAGUGGGGAAUAUUGCACAAUGGGCGCAAGCCUGAUGCAGCCAUGCCGCGUGUAUGAAGAAGGCCUUCGGGUUGUAAAGUACUUUCAGCGGGGAGGCGUUACCCGCAGAAGAAGCACCGGCUAACUCCGUGCCAGCAGCCGCGGUAAUUC
This 406-nucleotide ribosomal RNA is filed under the name uncultured bacterium. RNAcentral describes it as "partial 16S ribosomal RNA". It matches the Rfam family "Bacterial small subunit ribosomal RNA", at positions 30 to 526 of the family's 1533-position model. The record is from RNAcentral.